UACGGAGGGUGCAAGCGUUAAUCGGAAUUACUGGGCGUAAAGCGCACGCCGGCGGUCAAUUAAGUCAGAUGUUCAAGCCCCGAGCUUAACUUGGGAAUAGCAUCUGAAACUGGUUGGCUAGAGUCUUGUAGAGGGAGGUGGAAUUCCAUGUGUAGCGGUGAAAUGCGUAGAGAUGAGGAGGAAUACCGAUGGCGAAGAGGGCCCCCUGGACAAAGACGGACGCUCAGGU
Molecule: ribosomal RNA, 229 nt
Filed under: uncultured bacterium
Lineage: Bacteria
Description: partial 16S ribosomal RNA
Rfam family: Bacterial small subunit ribosomal RNA
Source: RNAcentral